This 791-nucleotide ribosomal RNA is filed under the name uncultured Acidobacteriota bacterium. RNAcentral describes it as "bacterial SSU rRNA". It matches the Rfam family "Bacterial small subunit ribosomal RNA", at positions 37 to 861 of the family's 1533-position model. Lineage: Bacteria; Pseudomonadati; Acidobacteriota. The record is from RNAcentral.
UGGCGGCGUGCCUAACACAUGCAAGUCGAACGAGAAAGUGGAGCAAUCCAUGAGUACAGUGGCGUACGGGUGAGUAACACGUGACUAACCUACCCUCGAGUGGGGAAUAACUUCGGGAAACCGAGGCUAAUACCGCAUAAUGCCUGACCAAAUGCGCAAGCAGCUUGAGGAGGGGGUCGCGGCUGAUUAGCUUGUUGGCGGGGUAACGGCCCACCAAGGCAAUGAUCAGUAGCCGGCCUGAGAGGGCGCACGGCCACACUGGAACUGAAACACGGUCCAGACUCCUACGGGAGGCAGCAGUGGGGAAUUUUGCGCAAUGGGGGAAACCCUGACGCAGCAACGCCGCGUGGAGGAUGAAGCCCCUUGGGGUGUAAACUCCUUUCGAUCGGGACGAUUAUGACGGUACCGGAUGAAGAAGCACCGGCUAACUCUGUGCCAGCAGCCGCGGUAAUACAGAGGGUGCAAGCGUUGUUCGGAAUUAUUGGGCGUAAAGGGUGCGUAGGCGGUGCGGUAAGUCUUCUGUGAAACCUCCGGGCUUAACUCGGAGCCUGCAGGGGAAACUGCCGUGCUGGAGUAUGGGAGAAGUGUAAUUGAAUUCCCGGUGUACCGUGAAAUGCGUAAAUAUCGGGAGGAACACCUGUGGCGAAAGCGGCUCACUGGACCAUUACUGACGCUGAUGCACGAAAAGCUAGGGGAGCAAACAGGAUUAGAUACCCUGGUAGUCCUAGCCCUAAACUAUGAUCGCUUGGUGUGACAGGUACCCAAUCCUGUCGUGGCCGAACUAACGCGUU